Molecule: ribosomal RNA, 333 nt
Filed under: uncultured eukaryote
Lineage: Eukaryota
Description: partial 18S ribosomal RNA
Rfam family: Eukaryotic small subunit ribosomal RNA
Source: RNAcentral
CCCUUAGAUGUCCUGGGCUGCACGCGCGCUACACUGAUGUGUCCAGUAAGCACCUAACCUCUUCCGAAAGGAACGGGUAACCUUUGCAAAGCACAUCGUGAUGGGGACAGAUUAUUGCAAUUAUUAGUCUUGAACGAGGAAUUCCUAGUAAGCACAAGUCAUCAGCUUGUGUUGAUUACGUCCCUGCCCUUUGUACACACCGCCCGUCGCUACUACCGAUUGAAUGGUUUAGUGAGAUCUUCGGAUUGGCGCCACUGCGGCUCAGCAAUGGGCUCGGUGGAUGCCGAAAAGUUGAUCAAACUUGAUCAUUUAGAGGAAGUAAAAGUCGUAACA